This 4283-nucleotide long non-coding RNA is filed under the name Triticum aestivum (bread wheat). Its description in RNAcentral is "long non-coding RNA (TAES_LNC022377)". Lineage: Eukaryota; Viridiplantae; Streptophyta; Magnoliopsida; Poales; Poaceae. The record is from RNAcentral.
UCACCCUCUCCCCGCCCGCCGCGUGCGCGCCAUGCCAUCUGCGGGAGUGUGGGGCGGGCAUCGCCCAAUCCCCCCACCCGCACCACUCCCUCCCUGCCCCGCGCCCAAUCCCCUCGCCCGCACCGCUCCCUCCCUCCUCGAUCUCUCUCCCUGGCUAGCCGCCAUUGGUGGGAAACCGUAGCCCAUUAUCCCAAUCAACACAGCCGCAUCUCCUCUCCUUCUUUCUCCCUUCUCCCCCCUCCUCCCCUCACCACAGCCGCAACCUAGAGGCUUCGCCGUCCGUUUCGAUGAGAUCCACCACCUCAUGAGGUUCUCAUCUGCCCCAGGUUGCGAGGAAGCCGCGGGAGGAGGAGUGACCUCGGUGCGAGAUAGGUACGGAGGAGGAGCUCAACCAACGCGUCUUCGGCCGGAGGAGGGAAGCAGCGGAUGCGAGCCAUGAGGCGGAUCGGCUGGGCCCAGGUAUGGAGGCGGCUGGGGCGGGCGCGGAGAGGGCCGAUGCGGCGGCGGCCAAGGACAGGGAGGACGAGGUUGCAUCCAUCAGCGAGAAGCGGCCGAUCCACCUGCGUGCUGUCACUGCAGGGAUAGCGCCGCCGUCUCCCUCUCCCCUCGUGGCACCUCCCUAUGUGAGCUCCUCCCUAUCUUCCUGCUCCUUCACCUCCUCCUUCUCAUCCCAUGAAUUUUAGAUUUGUUUGUUCAGUUUUACUCCAUAGUGCUUGCACGCCCAUGAAUCUGAAAGUAACCCGCAAAAAAAAAUCUGGAAGUAGACAUUUUAGUGUUUUUCCUAUUCCAUUAUCCGCUUUUUUUGUUGCUAAGAGUACAGUUUUUUUUGCAUGGGGGAUUAAUGAGGCUGGUUAUACAGAAUGAUAAUUGCCUCAAAUGAUUCAAAUUAAGAGUUCUGCUCAAGAUAUAUGUGCUAGAGAACUAAUUAUUUUGUACUUGACCGCUCUGCAGAUGUUGAGGUUGGUCCUGGAAUGGUUGGCUUUGGGACUUUUGGUGGUAGUAUAUUCUUAUGCCGAUGACAAGCAUUUGCAGGACGAUUAUGUGGUUAUCUGUGGCAGUGUGCUCCUAUCCUCCCCGCCUCCAUACUUCAUUUUUGGAAAACUAAUGAUUUUAAUUCCUGGAUGUCAUAGGUACCAUUGAUUGUGCCUCAGCUUCGUAGCCGAUCUUCGAUCGUCCAUGGCAUCAACACAUAAAUUGAGAAUUAAUUAUUUUGUACUUGACCGCUCUGCAGAUGUUGAGGUUGGUCCUGGAAUGGUUGGCUUUGGGACUUUUGGUGGCAGUAUAUUCUUAUGCCAACGACAAGCAUUUGCAGGAUAAUUAUGUGGUUAUCUGUGGCAGUGUGCUCCUAUCCUCCCCGCCUCCAUACUUCAUUUUUGGAAAACUAAUGAUUUUAAUUCCUGGAUAUCAUAGGUACCAUUGGUUGUGCCUCAGCUUCGUAGCCGAUCUUCGAUCGUCCAUGGCAUCAACACACAAAUUUAUAAUGCAAACCUCAGGUCAAUACCUCCCCUAUUUGAUUUCUGCGGCAGAGUGCUAAUAACUUUUAUUGUUUGUGUUUUUGGAUAAGAUUUGCAUGGUAUUUCUAUCAUUGGUUGAUUUCUUGGAUACUUUCACUAUAGUAGUUGUUCUGCCUCAUCUAUCACUAUCUGUGGGCUUGCUUUGAUUAUGUGUCUCCCAACUUUCUGUAACUAAAAAGCAGCCUAUAAAUGUAGCUUGAAUAAAAAUGGUACCUUUCUGUUUUGUGCAAGUUCAAAGUAUUAGUAGUUUCAGUUUGUCCAAUUUUUGCAGGGAUAUUGUGUGAGGUCUGGUACAAACUUUAAGACAAUCACUUAAUACAUUCAUGGGAUCACCAACUUUUGGCAUUUGUUGAUACUAGCUAGGUGGGGCCAUGAAUUCCUAGAAGAUUGUGGCAAUUAUCCUGCUUCGCUUGCAAGAUUGGUUUCUAAAAAUAUCAUAGUAGUUGUAAUUUCAGAUUGCUGCUGAUUUGACUAAAUAUGUUUUGAUUGUUUUUAAGCUUUGACUCUUUACUGUGUGCACAACUAAUUCAUUCCUAAUUAAAUCUUUCAAUGGUUGAUGGGAACACUACAGAUCUUGCUUCUCUGCUUUUUAAUGUUUCAUAUGUUUUCAUGUACAAACCGAGGCAUGCGGAUGCGGGCGUGAUGGCGGGCAUCUCCAGCAGCGGCGGCGACCUGCAGGCAGGAGGCAACGACUGGGGUGUUUGAUUAGAUCCAGCGCCAUGGCCCGGUCCCUAUAGGAGAGAGAGAUGAGGGACAGAGAGAGAAGGAAGGAGAGGAGGGAGAAAGAGAGAGGGAGGUAAGAUGCCGGAUGUUACUAUAGUAUUAGAAGAAUUCCUGAUAUAUUUAUUUAUAGGAUUCUAUGAUAUUUGAUGCAAAAUAUUGAUGGCCAAGUGAAUGCAGUGGACUCUUCAAGAUCGAGGUCACCAUUGGACAGGCCGAGUAUGUCCAUCGACAGCCUGCCCAGUGUCCGGAUUCACCAAACAAUACAACCGGAAACGCUGUCGGCUGCCUGCAGGUCUGGAAACCAGACAACAUCUCUGAAACCCACUAUCCUCUAAUGCAUGAAUCUCUAUGCUCAAUUUGGCUACAUCUAAUUUGCCAUCGUUUAAUCCUCCAUAAUGCAAACAUCCUAUUUUUCAUCAAGAGAAAGAACAUUAAGAAUUUUCGCACAUUCUAUUGUAGCAAUAUCGACUGUAUGAAUACUAGUAGUGUGUUUGGCAGUUUGUUCUUGUGGCUUCCAAAAGAAACCUGGAAUGUUUGUUCUGCCGGUACAACUCUCUUUGGCUAGGACAUUUUGGCUUCAAAUAACAUAAAUGAACCUAAAACUUUUCAAUAUUUUAUAUCACUUUUUGUAUUGAUGUUCUUCAUGCAUGCUCAUCUGCCAAGAGGUUAAUCCAAUAAUGUCACACGUUCCUCAGCAGGCACCAAGCCGUCCGCUGUUGUCUCUGCCCGAAGAAGGAUUAUGGUUCUCCACCUCUUUGCUACUCAUAUUAAAAUUCUGGUAUGUUCUUUCUUUCUUUAUUUUCUUUCAAGAAAAAGGUGGAACCUGUUCUUAGUUUCCUAUGAUGAUUUCAAUGGCAAUUUGUCAGUGUAUUUCUAGCCGGAAUUGUAUGUAUAUCUUACAAAUUUGCAUUGCAACAAAUUAAUAACGAGAAUAGAAGCGUUUGCACCCAUCUAACAUAUUUGUAUGGUAUUUUUCAAAAGCUCAAGCUUAAAGAUGUGGCGUUGUAUGAGGCUAUCAUUAGGAUGGAAGAUAAAUUUAAUGUUAAAAUAUUGCUUGAAUUUCCUUUGUUCUAUAAACAGCAAUACAAGAUAUGUUGCGCCAUGGUUUUUUUCCAAAAAAAUAACAACUAGCAAUUAACGACACAUCAAAUGUUCUGUGGAUCAUUUUGUCAGGUUGGAUUUAGUCGGUCAUAAUGGUUUUAUUCUAUGACAAGAUUAAUUUUGUUUGUACUUUAACCAGUUCAAGGAUUGGUGGUCGAGCACUAUGAUCUUUGCACACUAAGGUUCGGUUGUGUUCUUUGAGAAAUAUAUGUCCUACAAGUCUCAUGUGUCUUGUCUUGUUUUCGCUUUCCAAGCUACAAGCUUUUGAUAUACUUCAAACGUGAUUCUUUAUAUGUUGUUUGUUCCAUCAAUCGUAAAAUGUAAAUUAGCAAUUAGGCGUCGACAUAGUGUAGUGGAACCAUUGUGCUUGAUGCAGUUUUAUUUUAGUGUUGAAAUUUUUUUCUUAGUUUGUUUGGUGUUGAGAAAUAUAUUCAUUUUCCAGCAAUUGUUUUCUAAAUCCUAUCAACACAUUACCUUGUAUGGCCUUUGAAGUUUCUGUUUUAUAACGAUCUUUGCUGCAGUGGUCAACUUGAGUAUGGUAUAGCUUAUUCUUUUCUGUUGCAGCUAUUCCGGAGAAGUUUAGAGCUUCGGCAACCUUUUGAAGACACGAUUUAUAGUUGCGGAGAUAAAACAAUCAAUUAGUUGCGAUGCAUUACAUAAUCUUUUUGCUCUGGACAUUGAUGGGUAUUGCAGACUCCUUUAUUUUUCCACAAAGGACAGGAGUUGUGCCAUUUGACUCGAAGAACAAAACGUUCAUCACAAGGGGGUGGUCUUUAGGAUGUACACAAAAGAGGAAAUUUCAUUUUGUAUAGAACCAAAUUAUAUGAUGUAAUUGACCAUUCUCUUGUACACAAUGUUUAUCAUGUAUUAAGUACAUUUUAUUGUCAAAUAUGUUUACUUUUUUUAGUGCACAAGUUCACAACUCCUUGGACUUUCUAAUUGCAG